GGUCCCCCACACUGGAAAUGAGACACGGUCCAGACUCCUACGGGAGGCAGCAGUGAGGGAUAUUGGUCAAUGGUCGGGAGACUGAACCAGCCAUGCCGCGUGAAGGUCACGGCCCUAUGGGUAUUCAACUUCUUUUGUAAGGGAGCAAUAAGGAUCACGUGUGGUCUGAUGAGAGUACCUUACGAAUAAGCAUCGGCUAACUCCGUGCCAGCAGCCGCGGUAAUACGGGGGAUGCAAGCGUUAUCCGGAUUUAUUGGGUUUAAAGGGUGCGUAGGCGGUUUGUUAAGUCAGCGGUGAAAUUUAGGGGCUCAACCUCUACCGUGCCGUUGAUACUGGCAGGCUUGAAUGCGGAUGCCGUGGGAGGAAUGUGUGGUGUAGCGGUGAAAUGCAUAGAUAUCACACAGAACACCGAUUGCGAAGGCAUCUCACGAAUCCGCUAUUGACGCUGAUGCACGAAAGCGUGGGGAUCAAACAGGGAUUAGAUACCCUGGUAGUCCACGCUGUAAAACGAUGAUGACUAACCGUCGGCGAUACACAGUCGGUGGCCAAGCGAAAGCGAUAAGUCAUCCACCUGGGGAGUACGACCGCAAGGUUGAAACUCAAAGGAAUUGACGGGGGCCCGCACAAGCGGAGGAACAUGUGGUUUAAUUCGAUGAUACGCGAGGAACCUUACCCGGGCUCGAACGGCAGCUGAAUCAUUCAGAGAUGGAUGAGUCUUCGGACAGUUGUCGAGGUGCUGCAUGGUUGUCGUCAGCUCGUGCUGUGAAGUGUCGGCUUAAGUGCCAUAACGAGCGCAACCCUUGCCGUUAGUUGCCAUCAGGUUAUGCUGGGGACUCUAGCGGGACUGCCACCGCAAGGUGUGAGGAAGGGGGGGAUGACGUCAAAUCAGCACGGCCCUUACGUCCGGGGCGACACACGUGUUACAAUGGUGGGUACAGAGGGAAGCUACCUGGUGACAGGAUGCAGAUCUCGAAAACCCAUCCCAGUUCGGAUUGGAGUCUGCAACCCGACUCCAUGAAGUUGGAUUCGCUAGUAAUCGCGCAUCAGCCAUGGCGCGGUGAAUACGUUCCCGGGCCUUGCACUCACGGCCCGUCAAG
RNAcentral lists this ribosomal RNA (1097 nucleotides) under uncultured bacterium. RNAcentral's name for it is "bacterial SSU rRNA". It matches the Rfam family "Bacterial small subunit ribosomal RNA", at positions 302 to 1401 of the family's 1533-position model. The record is from RNAcentral.